This is a long non-coding RNA of Mastomys coucha (southern multimammate mouse), 419 nucleotides long. RefSeq lists it as uncharacterized. NCBI's taxonomy places the organism in Eukaryota, Metazoa, Chordata, Mammalia, Rodentia, Muridae. The transcript has 2 exons. The record is from RefSeq and is a predicted model, not a curated record.
AAAGGAACGCACAGAAUGAAGUCAUUUCUGCACAAGCUCUCCCUCACAGCACAGCAAGACCGACUGAAGGAUAGCUUCAAAUUCUUGCUGAUAACACUCUCAGGCUAACCCAGCACCUGCCAUGACAAAAGUCCUACACUUGUUUAUGAGUGGGAAAAGAACAACAGGGCAGAGCAGAUACUCUGCACCCCGUCCUUCAAAGCUGUGCCGCAGCAGCAUGUGGGACCCUCCAAUCCUCUCAUCUCACAGAUACGACACAAGAGGAGAUUUGUGAGAAGAUCGAGUGAUCAAAUGCACUUCAGGCUGAGCAUCACCUCCAUGAUAGCAUCAAUGUAGAAGUCUGGAGAGCCAUUUAAAUUUUGUCAAUCUGAGGAGGAAAACAACUCAUGCAAAAUAAAAGUUGAGGAGCUGAGAAUGAA